AGGUAAGCUACUAAGAGCGAAUGGUGGAUGCCUUGACUGGUAAAGGCGAUGAAGGACGUACUAGACUGCGAUAAGCUACGGGGAGCUGUCAAGAAGCUUUGAUCCGUAGAUUUCCGAAUGGGGCAACCCAAUGUAUAGAGAUAUACAUUACCUAUAUAGGAGCGAACGAGGGGAAUUGAAACAUCUUAGUACCCUCAGGAAAAGAAAUCAAUAGAGAUUGUGUCAGUAGCGGCGAGCGAAAGCGCAAGAGGGCAAACCCAGUGCUUGCACUGGGGGUUGUAGGACUGCAAUGUGCAAGAGCUGAGUUUAGCAGAACAUUCUGGAAAGUAUAGCCAUAGAGGGUGAUAGUCCCGUAUGCGAAAAACAAAGCUUAGCUAGCAGUAUCCUGAGUAGGGCGGGACACGAGGAAUCCUGUCUGAAUCCGGGUCGACCACGAUCCAACCCUAAAUACUAAUACCAGAUCGAUAGUGCACAAGUACCGUGAGGGAAAGGUGAAAAGAACUGAGGUGAUCAGAGUGAAAUAGAACCUGAAACCAUUUGCUUACAAUCAUUCAGAGCACUAUGUAGCAAUACAGUGUGAUGGACUGCCUUUUGCAUAAUGAGCCUGCGAGUUGUGGUGUCUGGCAAGGUUAAGCAAACGCGAAGCCGUAGCGAAAGCGAGUCUGAAUAGGGCGCUUAGUCAGAUGCUGCAGACCCGAAACGAAGUGAUCUAUCCAUGAGCAAGUUGAAGCUAGUGUAAGAACUAGUGGAGGACUGAACCCAUAGGCGUUGAAAAGCCCCGGGAUGACUUGUGGAUAGGGGUGAAAGGCCAAUCAAACUUCGUGAUAGCUGGUUCUCUCCGAAAUAUAUUUAGGUAUAGCGUUGUGUCGUAAUAUAAGGGGGUAGAGCACUGAAUGGGCUAGGGCAUACACCAAUGUACCAAACCCUAUCAAACUCCGAAUACCUUAUAUGUAAUCACAGCAGUCAGGCGGCGAGUGAUAAAAUCCGUCGUCAAGAGGGAAACAACCCAGACUACCAGCUAAGGUCCCUAAAUCUUACUUAAGUGGAAAACGAUGUGAAGUUACUUAAACAACCAGGAGGUUGGCUUAGAAGCAGCCAUCCUUUAAAGAAAGCGUAAUAGCUCACUGGUCUAGUGAUUUUGCGCGGAAAAUAUAACGGGGCUAAAGUAAGUACCGAAGCUGUAGACUUGCGCACAACUUAGAUUAUUUAAGUUUAGAAUAUGAGAAACUAAGUUAUAUUUUUACUGAUUUUUAUAGAGUAAAGAUAGAAAUAAAACUUAGUAAAAUCAGUAAAAAUAUUCUUAGGCUAAAGUUAAGUAGUUUAAGUUGUGUGCAAGUGGUAGGAGAGCGUUCUAUUUGCGUCGAAGGUAUACCGGUAAGGAGUGCUGGAGCGAAUAGAAGUGAGCAUGCAGGCAUGAGUAGCGAUAAUUAAUGUGAGAAUCAUUAACGCCGUAAACCCAAGGUUUCCUACGCGAUGCUCGUCAUCGUAGGGUUAGUCGGGUCCUAAGUCGAGUCCGAAAGGGGUAGACGAUGGCAAAUUGGUUAAUAUUCCAAUACCAACAUUAGUGUGCGAUGGAAGGACGCUUAGGGCUAAGGGGGCUAGCGGAUGGAAGUGCUAGUCUAAGGUCGUAGGAGGUUAUACAGGCAAAUCCGUAUAACAAUACUCCGAGAACUGAAAGGCUUUUUGAAGUCUUCGGAUGGAUAGAAGAACCCCUGAUGCCGUCGAGCCAAGAAAAGUUUCUAAGUUUAGCUAAUGUUGCCCGUACCGUAAACCGACACAGGUGGGUGGGAUGAGUAUUCUAAGGCGCGUGGAAGAACUCUCUUUAAGGAACUCUGCAAAAUAGCACCGUAUCUUC
Molecule: ribosomal RNA, 1855 nt
Filed under: Campylobacter jejuni
Lineage: Bacteria; Pseudomonadati; Campylobacterota; Epsilonproteobacteria; Campylobacterales; Campylobacteraceae
Description: partial 23S ribosomal RNA
Rfam family: Bacterial large subunit ribosomal RNA
Source: RNAcentral